GGGCCCAUAGCUCAGCGGUGAGAGCAGCUGGCUCAUAACCGGUUGGUCGCUGGUUCAAAUCCAGCUGGGCCCA
RNAcentral lists this transfer RNA (73 nucleotides) under bacterium. RNAcentral describes it as "tRNA-Ile". It matches the Rfam family "tRNA". Rfam says of the family: Transfer RNA (tRNA) molecules are approximately 80 nucleotides in length. Their secondary structure includes four short double-helical elements and three loops (D, anti-codon, and T loops). The record is from RNAcentral.